GCCGGGAGGCAUCUAUGACUCACCGCAGAAGUGGGCAGUCUCAGCUUCAGGGAGAGUGGAAGCCACUCGGCAGCAGAGAUGACGCAGCUCAGGUAAAGAGUGUGCGGAGGGAAGCCCACUGAGAUGGAGGUGAAGACAGAAGGCAGGGGAUGGGUCCCCGGUGAGACAGGAGCUCAGCAAUAAAACUACUGGGGGAGAGGAUGGUGCGGGAGCUGUGGCAUUCUGGGAGAAUCCUUGAUCUCCCCGACCUGGAGUGAUGCUCAGUUCCGCCCAUGACCUCAGAAACAGCUGAUACAGUGCAACUGUUCGAAGGUUCUGGACUGAAGCAGCACUCUCCCUGCUAAUGCCAUGGCUCCAGAGCCGAGAUGGACGGAGAGGGCCUCCCCUGAUGGUACACAGUCGGACUCACUGUUCCAGGUACAUCAGAAGUUGUCAUGACGUGACUGUAGAGGAGGCGCACCCUGUUCGGUGAUGUUUUCUGUAACUUCCGGGGGUUCCAACAGUGAAGCACACACAUUCUUUCACCCAGGCAUGUGUUUAACCUGUUCAACAGGAUCAGUGCAGAAUCCAAAGUCCGUUUUUUUCUACUCAUGUUCUUUGUUCCCUUGAGAAAUGAAACAUUAAAGACAGAACAUCAGCUUCACGAGACUCAGAACCUGACCCCCAACUCGAAUCCAAAGGCUUCCCACAGAGUAGGUACCAGCAUUGCAGUACUCUGGGGCAGGAGGGUACAAGAAAGGUUAUUUCUCAUGGCUUUGAUUGAAACCACAAUGAAACUGCUGAUGAAAGGUGAAUAUAGGUAAAAAUACCUAUCAGAAGGAAAGGAAAAGUCUCCAAUUUAAAGUUUGGUCUCAGAUCCAAAAUGAUCUGUCUUAUAGCAAUCGUCCUGUGGCUAUAAAAAUCCUACUAGCUUAAAGAGCUUCUCCUCAACCCAGAUGUCAGGAGAACACAACGUAAAAGAAGCCCCCACCUUGCCAUUUCAGCAGACACGGACUGGGUGGGUGGAGGCCAAGCCCAGGUAUUCAUGGUCACUGUGCAAGCCGACCUUGCACAUUCUGAACAGACUCCAAAGGUUCUGAUUCAGGUGAUCCUGUUAUAAUUGGAUGCCAAGGCAUAAAACUCGAAUGUGAUGGAUUGUCUCAGAGUCGAUGCCAACUUUGCCGGGCGUGUUGUGGAUCUUGCAACAUGAAUGGAUUUAUGCUACAGAGUUUGACAGCUGUGGCGCCAGAAGAUAAACAGAAUUACAAGAUCAUUCAUGAAAGCUGAUCUUGCUGGCAAAACAGGAGAACACAAGGCUGGCCAAGUUCUUUCAAGAUCAGACAGGUACUGACAAUGGCUUGAUCUUGGAUGCUCCGAGAUGCCCCUCCACCAGGAGUCAGCCCCUGAGAGAGCGGCAGCCCAGAGCAGCCAACUCCAUGUCAUGGCUGUCAGGUGCCUAGAGGCCCCAGUCAUCACAAGGUGGUUGGCUCAUCAGCAAAGCAUCACACUCCUGAGGACAAGCUACCAGCAAGGAAACUGAAGACCUACGGGGCGUUCUCUGCUCCAGAGAGUGAAGAGAUAACCAUGGACUAGCUUGAGCAAUAUGGCCGCUAAUAGAGAAAGAAAUUUGUUCAAGUGCAACUCAUUCAAGCUUGGCAUGGAUUAUAAAGAAAGACUAUUCUGGGACAACCUGAAAUAGAUUUAAAUUAGACAAAAAAAAUUCAUAAUAAAACAUUUGUAUAUUUGAAGCUUGUAUUUGGAGCUUGAGGAAAGAAAUCUUUUUCCG
This is a long non-coding RNA of Peromyscus leucopus (white-footed mouse), 1765 nucleotides long. RefSeq lists it as uncharacterized. NCBI's taxonomy places the organism in Eukaryota, Metazoa, Chordata, Mammalia, Rodentia, Cricetidae. The record is from RefSeq and is a predicted model, not a curated record. The transcript is spliced from 3 exons.